GCGGUCGUAGCUCAGGGGUAGAGCACUUGAUUGUGGUUCAAGACGUCGCGGGUUCAAAUCCCGUCGAUCGCC
RNAcentral lists this transfer RNA (72 nucleotides) under Chlamydiia bacterium. Its description in RNAcentral is "tRNA-His". It matches the Rfam family "tRNA". Rfam says of the family: Transfer RNA (tRNA) molecules are approximately 80 nucleotides in length. Their secondary structure includes four short double-helical elements and three loops (D, anti-codon, and T loops). Lineage: Bacteria; Pseudomonadati; Chlamydiota; Chlamydiia. The record is from RNAcentral.